This is a long non-coding RNA of Onychostoma macrolepis, 401 nucleotides long. RefSeq lists it as uncharacterized. The record is from RefSeq and is a predicted model, not a curated record. Lineage: Eukaryota; Metazoa; Chordata; Actinopteri; Cypriniformes; Cyprinidae. The transcript is spliced from 3 exons.
CUGAAGGAGAGUUGGCUGGAGACUGCUGGGAACAUACACUCGAUAGUGUAUUUGAUCAUUUUUCAGGACAAUAUCUGUCACUGGAAUCUCUGGAUGUUGGUCCUUCUUUUGCUUGGCGUAAAUAGCUGUGAUGGGAGAGUUUGCUGUGACUGAUGACCUGGACAAAGCAUCAGGGGCGACAUUUAAUUUCCCUUUACGGUACUCAAUGACGAAGUUGAAUUUCUGCAGUCUCAGGACCCAUCGGAUGAGGCGACUGUUGGUUUUAGUGGAUCCCAUGACCCAUUGCAGAGCGGAAUGUUGCCGUGUAGUUGAUCUCUGCUCCAGUUAAUGUUCGACUGGCAUAUGCAAUGACUUCCUCCCUGCCUGCAUCUUUCCUCUGCGUGAGAAUGGCCCCCAGUCCA